GACGAACGCUGCGGCGUGCUUAACACAUGCAAGUCGAACGGAAAGGCCCUGCUUGCAGGGUACUCGAGUGGCGAACGGGUGAGUAACACGUGGGUGAUCUGCCCUGCACUUCGGGAUAAGCCCGUGAAACUGGGUCUAAUACCGGAUAGGAGCCAUUUUUAGUGUGAUGGUUGGAAAGUUUUUUCGGUGUAGGAUGAGCUCGCGGCCUAUCAGCUUGUUGGUGGGGUAAUGGCCUACCAAGGCGGCGACGGGUAGCCGGCCUGGGAGGGUGGACGGCCACAUUGGGACUGAGAUACGGCCCAGACUCCUACGGGAGGCAGCAGUGGGGAAUAUUGCACAAUGGGCGCAAGCCUGAUGCAGCGACGCCGCGUGGGGGAUGACGGCCUUCGGGUUGUAAACUCCUUUCGCUAGGGACGAAGCUUUUUGUGACGGUACCUAGAUAAGAAGCACCGGCUAACUACGUG
This 464-nucleotide ribosomal RNA is filed under the name uncultured bacterium. RNAcentral's name for it is "partial 16S ribosomal RNA". It matches the Rfam family "Bacterial small subunit ribosomal RNA", at positions 28 to 507 of the family's 1533-position model. The record is from RNAcentral.